This 440-nucleotide ribosomal RNA is filed under the name uncultured bacterium. Its description in RNAcentral is "partial 16S ribosomal RNA". It matches the Rfam family "Bacterial small subunit ribosomal RNA", at positions 338 to 795 of the family's 1533-position model. The record is from RNAcentral.
CCUACGGGUGGCAGCAGUGGGGAAUCUUGCACAAUGGGGGAAACCCUGAUGCAGCGACGCCGCGUGAGCGAGGAAGUAUUUCGGUAUGUAAAGCUCUAUCAGCAGUGAAGAAAAUGACGGUACCUGACUAAGAAGCCCCGGCUAACUACGUGCCAGCAGCCGCGGUAAUACGUAGGGGGCAAGCGUUAUCCGGAUUUACUGGGUGUAAAGGGAGCGUAGACGGUUGUGCAAGCCAGAUGUGAAAGCCCGGGGCUCAACCCCGGGACUGCAUUUGAAACUGUGUAGCUGGAGUGUCGGAGAGGUAGGCGGAAGUCCUAGUGUAGCGGUGAAAUGCGUAGAUAUCAGGAGGAACACCGGUGGCGAAGGCGGCCUACUGGACUGCAACUGACGUUGAGGCACGAAAGCGUGGGGAGCAAACAGGAUUAGAUACCCUUGUAGUC